GAUCUGGUCGGGCGGUCCGCUUAACAGCGUGUACUGUUUGACUGGGUCUUACCUCUUGGUGAGCCGGUGUGCCCUUCAUUGGUGUGCGCCGGUGAACCAGGACUUUUACCUUGAGAAAAUUAGAGUGUUCAAAGCAGGCAAAGCCUGAAUACAUUAGCAUGGAAUAAUAAAAUAGGACGUGUGGUUCUAUUUUGUUGGUUUCUAGAAUCGCCGUA
Molecule: ribosomal RNA, 215 nt
Filed under: uncultured fungus
Lineage: Eukaryota; Fungi
Description: partial small subunit ribosomal RNA
Rfam family: Eukaryotic small subunit ribosomal RNA (bases 92-215)
Source: RNAcentral